Mytilus trossulus (common blue mussel) is the source of this 408-nucleotide long non-coding RNA. RefSeq lists it as uncharacterized. The transcript has 4 exons. Lineage: Eukaryota; Metazoa; Mollusca; Bivalvia; Mytilida; Mytilidae. The record is from RefSeq and is a predicted model, not a curated record.
GCAAACGUAAUGGUAUAUAAAUAAAAUUCUUUUAUGUUAUUAGGAUUAUAAUGACAACAAACAAAACCAGAAACCAAGGAUUGAUAUUUUAGGGAAAAGACACUCAGUUUCACCGCAUUAUAAUAAAGAAAAACAUGUGACAAACUUGUUAUUCCAACCAAUGGUGUCAGAUAUUGAUGAUCAGAAUGUCCUUCAUCGAAAAAGGAAGAGAAAAAAGAAACACAAACAGAAGGAGAAAACAGGAAUGGUAACAAUGAAGCCAACUGGUCAGUUCCUGACAGACGAUACCAUUAUAGGAGACCCAGACCAUGAAAACUAAUACUACCUCAACAUGUACGAAAGGAUAUAGAUUGCAAUAUUUGUUUAGCUCUGUGUUUGUCAGAAAAUCAAAUUAAAUUAAAAAAUGUA